GGGGUGGAAUGAUACGCAUAUGAAAUGAUGCGUGAACUGUCCGCUGAAUCACUUUUCUUUGUUGUAAGAGGAACAGGUUCAUGAUACAAAAGCAAAACAUCAGAAAAUGUUUUUAAUCGAUGUUGAGAGGGAAAUAACACUAACAAGGCUGGGGCAUGGGCAGUGGGAGCAAGAGAGGCCUUAUAUGGCUGAUGCUGCGGGAGCUGGAUCCCUAAACAGAGGAGUGGAGAGGAGAGUCUCUCCUUUCCUGUGGUCACAUUCUUCCUCCCAUCAGGAUUCCUUGUCUUUGUUCCCUGCCUAGCACCCUUAGCAUCUGGAACAGAGCAGGUGAUGAAUAUCUCUCUGGAUCCCAUUCCUGGCUCUCCAGAGCUAUUCUACUCUGCCAAAGAGACCUCCUCCCUCUGGAAGCUCCCUCCACUCCUGGACUUCUCAGACUGGGCACAUUCCACAACGGUAGCCACUUCCUCAGAUGGAUGCUUCACCUCAGCUCCCAGAUUUGGCCCAGUUCUUCCCUCUGGAGCUAUGCAGAACAAGAGGACUAAUAUCUCUUCCUUGAGACAAUCUUUUGAAUAUUUGAUGGCUCCAUCCUGGCUUCCUAACUCAUCACUUCUCCAGGCUAAACAUUCCCAUUUUUGAAAAAUAAAAAUCUUUUGACAUGCA
RNAcentral lists this long non-coding RNA (660 nucleotides) under Monodelphis domestica (gray short-tailed opossum). RNAcentral's name for it is "lncRNA (ENSMODG00000035295.2)". Lineage: Eukaryota; Metazoa; Chordata; Mammalia; Didelphimorphia; Didelphidae. The record is from RNAcentral.